UACGUAGGUGACCAGCGUUGUCCGGAUUUACUGGGCGUAAAGAGCGCGCAGGCGGUCGUUCAAGUCGAGUGUGAAAGCCCCCGGCUCAACUGGGGAGGGUCAUUCGAUACUGAUCGACUUGAAGGCAGGAGAGGGAAGCGGAAUUCCCGGUGUAGUGGUGAAAUGCGUAGAUAUCAGGAGGAACACCGGUGGCGAAGGCGGGUCUCUGGGCAGUAACUGACGCUGAGGAGCGAAAGCGUGGGGAGCGAACAGG
Molecule: ribosomal RNA, 253 nt
Filed under: uncultured bacterium
Lineage: Bacteria
Description: partial 16S ribosomal RNA
Rfam family: Bacterial small subunit ribosomal RNA
Source: RNAcentral